CAGGUUGUAGUUUAAUAAAACGACAAGUUGCAAGCUUGUAGAAAAGAUGUAAGAUGUCUUCUAUCUGG
RNAcentral lists this transfer RNA (68 nucleotides) under Phyllidia ocellata. RNAcentral's name for it is "tRNA-Cys". Lineage: Eukaryota; Metazoa; Mollusca; Gastropoda; Nudibranchia; Phyllidiidae. The record is from RNAcentral.